CCGCUGGAUGCCGAGGCGCGGCAGAUUGCCGACGGCGAUCUGGUGCGGGUAUGGAAUUCGCGCGGCCAGGUUCUGGCCGGCGCGGUGGU
Molecule: transfer RNA, 89 nt
Filed under: Klebsiella terrigena
Lineage: Bacteria; Pseudomonadati; Pseudomonadota; Gammaproteobacteria; Enterobacterales; Enterobacteriaceae
Description: Raoultella terrigena tRNA-Val(gac)
Source: RNAcentral